Molecule: unclassified non-coding RNA, 262 nt
Filed under: Hevea brasiliensis (rubber tree)
Lineage: Eukaryota; Viridiplantae; Streptophyta; Magnoliopsida; Malpighiales; Euphorbiaceae
Source: RNAcentral
GUGCUUAUACGAUUGUAAAAAAUUUAGCAAAAUGAAAUGUCAUGGAAGAAACCUCAAGUGACACAGCCAAGUGAAGAUUGAACUUGGGAAAAUAUUUAGAUCAAGAGAGAUCUGUUGCUGGCGAGUGGCUUGUACUGGUCAGGAACCUCAUAAUUUCGUCAGCAUCGAUUUCACAUUUUUUGCUCUGAACUCUACUAAAUCCUAUCAAAUAUGGAUGCAUACGCGGUGAAUGGAAACUGUGAUUUGUUUCCUGUUCCACUUU